This is a non-coding RNA of Daphnia magna, 46 nucleotides long. Lineage: Eukaryota; Metazoa; Arthropoda; Branchiopoda; Diplostraca; Daphniidae. The record is from Rfam.
AAAUCGGCCCUUUUCAGUGCCACCAUUUUCGUUAUGAAAUGUUUAU